Brachypodium distachyon (stiff brome) is the source of this 909-nucleotide long non-coding RNA. RefSeq lists it as uncharacterized. The record is from RefSeq and is a predicted model, not a curated record. Lineage: Eukaryota; Viridiplantae; Streptophyta; Magnoliopsida; Poales; Poaceae. The transcript is spliced from 3 exons.
AUUGAUAAAAUUCCCUCAUUCAAACAUGAUUCGUCAACCAGAGGGACAUUUCGUGCACAAAGAAAACUUUCGUACGAUUUCCCUCAUUCAAACAUAACAUGUGCCACGUUCUUCACAGGCCUUUCCGUUUCCGAUGGCUGCGAUUAGACACCUCCCAGGUAGCUGAUAGACUAGAGCAGAGGAGCAGUGCAGAACUACCGGACCUUAACCUAAGUCAGAUCGACCACCUAGCUAGCUGCAGCUGCAGUUAAAUUCGAUCCCCUCCUCUUUCUUUCUUCUUCUCCCCAGCUGGCUCACACAACAGACAACGCUCGCCCCCAAAUCGAUCCCCUCCCGACCUCAAGAAUCCACCAUGGCUGCAAAGGAAGAGGAAGAGGAAGAGGAUGAGGAGUACUGAUAGAUCCAGGCAAAAGAGUAAUCCAUCGCCCGCCGCCCGGGAACAUCGUAUGGAGCGACGGCGAUGCACGCGUACGUACGUGGCUGAAUACAUACGGCCAUAGGUAUUACUUGACAUCAUAGGCAGCAGUAGCAAAUUGAGGUUAAUGGAAAGUGCAACUGUGUGCAUGUUAUUAAUUCAGGUGGAGUCAGCUGGAGUUGAGGCUUGAGGUGAAAGUAAAGUGAGAAUAGAAGAGCAUGGAGGCCAGCAGCAGGCAGCCAACCAGCUGACAGUGUAGCUAAAAGGCAGAAUGAUGGGGACUGCCUCAUCCCAACCAAAGAAAGAUCUCUGCAGGAAAGGACACGGAAUUUCUUCUCUUCCUGCUAUCGAUCACUGCACAUCCACAUAUAUGCUGACAUGCCCUGGCGUCCCUAUCCCCUUCUUCCCUUCCCCUCAGGCUACAGAGCAGCUGAAUCAUGCAUGCAUGCGAAUACAACUAUCUAGUACGGGGUAGUAGUUUACUCGUAUACCUA